GGAUUAGUGCACAAUGGCAUCUUUGACCUUGAUGGCACAAAUUAUACCCUAUGGAGAAUUAGUAUGCUUCAUCACUUUCGGGCCAUGGGCCCAAAUACUUUACGAAUUGUUCUUGUAGGGAUUGCCGACAAAAAGGAUGAUGCAUCUUCAUCUACUAAUGAAAUGUAUCUUGAUUGUGAGGCCUUUCUUGCCAUUCAUCGAACCAUAAGUCCUGAAGUGUUUAAGUCUAUCUCGACUUGCAAGUCAGCUCAUGAAGUUUGGACUAAACUUGAAGAUAUAUAUGGUGGGUCCAAUCUUGAUGAAGACGGUAUUAUGAUGAAGGAGUUGGUGCAUGAACUCUUCACUCUUUUCGAUCUUAAAGAGUCCACCACUACUUCCAUAUCCGAUUGCUUGCACACCUCAGCAUCUUCAAUCUCACAAGGUAAUGACAUGGUGAGUGAAGAAAUAUAUGUUGAUGAAAAUGUCAUAGCCUCUAUGGACACGAGCAUAUCUAGCACCACACAUAGUGUAAAUUAUUGUGCUGAUAGGUCAUGCAUUUCACCUAAAGAUUCCUUGACAAAUGUCUGUGGUGAUAUGCCUGCUUCCUCGUGUCCUCUUGAUCAAAAUAUCUUGUUUCUCCCUAGUUGCUCUAUGACUAAUCAUUUAGGGGAUAUCAAGAAAUAUGAAGUACUUUUGACUAAUGAAGAAUCUGAUUCACCAAAAGAAUCAUCAUCAACUCCUCCAGUUCACAUGUGCCUCAUGGCAAGAGGUAAUAAUGAGGUAUCAUCUUCCGUGUGCAAUAACGAUGAUAUUUGCGAUGAGGAUGAUGAUGAUGACUUGACUGAAAAUAUCUAUGUGAUCAGUAAAAUUCUUCAUAAAGCUAAAAAUAACGCUCUUCAAAGAUUCCAAGAUGUUCUUGCUUACUUUGAAAAUUGUAAUGAUUCACUUAAUCAUGAACAAGCUAAAAGUGAACAACUUGAACAUGAACUUGAGAAGAGUCAUCAAGCAUGUAGAGACUUAAGAUCUUCAAAAGGAGAGAUUGAAGUUGCUCAUGAUAAACUUAAAAAGGAUUUUGAGGUCCUUCUCCUUGAAUGCAAUAAUGUCAAGGGAGAGCUCAUCAAAACCUCUAAGAUCUAUGAGGAGCUUCAAUCUACUCAUGAGAAGUCUCUAUUUGCUACUUACUCCUCUCAUAUUGUUGAUGAUACUUGUACAUCUAACUCUACCUCAUUUGAAGUAUCAACAUUGAAGGAGAAUGUUGAGCUACGUGCUCAGCUUGAUUUACUAACUAGCAAUUAUGGGAAGUUGGAAGAAAACCAUGUAAUGCUCACAAGCUCUCAUGCCGAUCUUCUAACAUCCCAUAAUGUGCAAAAGUUAGCUCAUGAGGCUAUCAUCACCAAGGUAACAUCAAGCAAGCCUCAUGUGGACAAUGGCACUACUUCUAGUCAAAGUACUAUAUUUCCAUGUGCUAGUCCUCGUAAUUCGUCUACUCAUAAUGUUGCUACCUCGUGUGAUGAAUUACUUUCCUUGCCUUGUUGCUCUAACAUUGAAGCUUACACUUCCUCUAGUACUUGCAUUGAUACUAACCGUGCAGAGGAAAUCAAAGAGCUCAAGGCCCAAGUCACUUCUUUGAAGAAAGACUUGGAACAGUGUCAUGAAGGGAUGCCCACACUCAACAACGUCCUGUGUGAGCAAACAUCUCCGAAUGACAAAAAUGAGUUUGGAGUAAACUCAAACAAGAACAAGAGGGGCUUAGAACAAGUCAAGAAUUCGGCCAAAAUCAUUUGCUUCAAGUGCAAAGUUAAAGGGCACCAUGUUAGAUCUUUCCCUCUGAAGACGAAGUCUCAAAGUCACAAGCAACAAGGGAAGCGGCCACAAACUCAAUCACAUAUUCAACUACAAGUUGAAGGAAGGCCUCUUCCCAAUAAGACCCAAGCCAACACUCCCCGAGGUGAGAAAUCAACUGGGAAGAAAGCAAAGGGUAGAUGCUGCUACUUAUGUCGUGAGAAGGGUCACGUCGCUUCGUCUUGCACAAGAGGUAACUUAUCCAACCCCAAUCACUAUUGAUGAUACCUAUUCCCUUGGGAAGGAUAAGGUUGGCAAUGUGUUUGCCAAGUUUGUUGGUACUCAAAAUGGUGUCAAGAAAAAGAACCAUUUGGGUUGCCAAGCCUAUUGUGAUUAACCUCUUAGGACCCAACGUAGUUGGGGACCAACAAGCUCAAACUUGAUCAAUAGGUGACUUUGGAGGACAUUAGAGACUUGGAUACAUAAUGAAGAAUUAAGGGGUCUUCAUCAUUCAUAUUAUCUCAAGCCAAGUCAUUUGGAUUAUCGAGUUUCUAUCUUAUAUCCAAUGUGCCUCCUUGCGGUAACUUAUACUUAAACUGUUUACAUUGUUAGGUGCUUGCCCCUUUGCAUGUUGUGGUUUUGUACCUUGCAUGCGUUUGUAUAUGUUGUGCUUCCAACUUGCUUAUCUUGAGUAAUCGAGUAUGUGUAUGUUGGUUUGCACAUCAUGUACAUGUGAGUCUUGUAUUGAGCCUAUUUGCAUCUUGUCUGUAUUUUUGUUGGCUCUUGUGAGAGAUUAAUGGACUAUCCCAUUGUGGGGGAGUGAUGUGCUUUGCACACCUCACAAUCCUAUAAAUGUGUAUACAUGGGGAAUACCACUUAGUUUUGAUGCUUCAAGAUUAUCUAGUGUCUAUGUGGUAUGUCUUACUCAUGCCAAAUUCAAAUUCUAUAUGGUCCAUUAAGUAUCUCUUGUUGGUUUUAAUUUGCCACUUGUUAAUGUUAUUGGUUUAUCACAUUAUGGGGGAGUAAUAUGCUAUGGGCAUAUUACAAACCUAGAAAAUGUGUACAUUUGAGGUGUUGCCACUUAGUGUUGAUAUUGUAAAUUAUCCUGUUCCUAGGUGGCAUGUUAUCUCUACAAGUGUCAUUUGCUUGCGUUUUAUGGGUAAAAAUGAUCUUGGAUAUAUUUGUGAUCUACCAAUGAGUAUCAUUUCGAAAAUACUUCUUGUCCUUGACAAUUGGUAUUCCCAUCAUGUGAUUGGAAUUGCUAAUCAACUUUACAUUGGAUUUUGUGUUUCGUUUGUCUUCCUUGCCUCUUAUGGAUCUAUUUUAACCUGUCUAGUGCUUUUAUAGAUAUAGAGAAAGUGAUGAUCCCAUCGUGUGCGUUUUGUAUUUAAAUGCAAAUUCUAUAUAAUGCACGUCCCUUGGGGGAGCUAUCCUAUUUUCUUUAGAACACUCUCUUUAUUCACUCAUCAUAAAAUCUUUUGAUCCCCAUCAAGUGUGUGUUGAUGGGAGGCAAGUCUUGCUAUUUAUGAUGCUUUGUGCCAUCAUGAAAAUUUGUCGAGGGCUUGGUUUGUUGGAACCUAGCUCUCUUUUGGAAACUAGAAACCUCGUGUUUGUUUUCCUUCAAUGGGUUUCUUGUUGCCUUCUAUUUGGCAUGUGUCAAUGGAUAUCUCAUUCCUUGAGGUAUCUUUUAAUUGAUAUCCUUCAAGUGAUAGCUCUUUUGUUUUAGGAUCUUAUUAUCACUUGAUACCUUGUCUUUUGGUGACUUAUCAACUUUGUGUUGAGUUGAUUCUUAAGAGUCUUGAGCAUGCGUAUCUAGCUACAAUAUACAACUUCUUUUGCUUGCUUUCCUUCUUUGACCCAAUAUAUAGGGGAAACCCCACCUUGUCAUAAAUUGGCUAAAAGUGUGCAUGAAAUUCAAAUUCAUAUCUAUAUGCACAUAUGUGUGUGGAGGUUGUCCUAUGCAUUGCUGGUUUUCUAACACUUUGGUCCCAAUGAGUUUGGGCACCAUUUUGUUUGUUUUGUUGUUCCAGGAACAACUGGAAAUGGAUUGGAUGCUCGGCUCACCUAUAAGGAAGAUGUUAAGACCAUGUGAUUAUUGGAGCCAAGUUAGGAUGAUCAAAGAACAACUAUCUACUACAUCAAUCCAAUGUUGUCUCGGUAACAAAUAUCCACUUAAUGCAUUCUUUUCUUGCAAAGGACCCAACCUGUCUUUCCUUUUCAGGUUGCAUCAUGGCAUGAAUAUCUUGAUUUGUUCUCGUAGUACUUGUUUUCUUUCUCAAAGCAUCCGAACGAUGAUGUCUUACUAUUAGUUGGGAUGUCUUUGAUGUUCGUAUGUUGGAAGUUCAUAUUGUACAAUAAGAAAAUAUUAGGCCAUGUGCUAUGCUUCCAAGCAAAAGAUCUCAUUGAUAUAUUUAUGACUUCCUUUUUGGAUAUCUAGUUUGUUCCUUCUUGUAACCAUUUCGUGUGUACAUCCUUCUUUGUGGAUAUAAUCAUCAUGAUUGUCUUCUACUUAGAAUCUUUUACACAUGAGAGAAGUUACAUCUCUAAUUGAUAUCCUCUUUUCUUUCACGUCCAUCGUUGCAUUUCCUCUUUCAAGUUUUUUUUAUGGCUUCGUGAAAGGAUUUGUUUUGAGUGCGCAUCUUAUUUCUACAUCUUGAUGCACUCUUUGGCAGUGAAGAUUAUUUUUCCUCAUGCUUGUCUUGAUGAGGGUUUUGCCAUUUCAACUAGUAUCCCUCCUAUUGACAAGGUUCCUACUUCCUAUCUUCACAGUGGGUUGUCACAAGCGUUGGUUCUUAUUUUAUUUAUUAGUAAGCUUGUGAACCCAUUUUCUAGUAUGUGUGUGUGGGAAUGAUAUGUCUUGCACUUUGUAUCUCAUAUUCAUCAAGACUAUGUUGAUGAGUAAUGCUCAUCCUUAUCUUAAGUCUUCUCAAGUGCUUUGCCAUGACUCACACACAUUACUUUGGUUGAGCUUAUUCUUAAGUUGCUUCCUUUACAUGUUGCUCAACCAUUAGUUUUGUGCAAUUUAUAUGCUUAUUGUCUCAUCUAUCUUCUUGCACUCGUUGUGUGUUUCUAUUAAUUCUGGGGGAGCAACGAUCCUAUUUUGUGCACCUGUGUCAAAUACAAAAAUCUCAUAUUAGUGCACAAAUUAUGGGGAGCUUCUCUAGUUUUUGAUAAAGCACUAUGUUGCCUCUAUCAUAAUAUCUUUUAUUCAUGUGGUUCGAAGGACCAUAUGAUUGUUUGUUCCAUAUGGAAUUCUUUGAUUGCUUGCCUCUAUCUUUGUAUGUCUUUGUGGCAUAUGAUCCUUUUAUCUGCAAUCUUUGGGUCCUCAAUGUAGUUUGUUUUCCUCCAACUACUUAUCAUUGUAUUUGUGUAUUUCUCUGCACUCAUUUGCUGAGAAGUACAUACUUUUUGGAGGACCACCUACUAUUUUGGCUUUCUAAACUUGUCGUCCAUUUUGGCAAUCGAUGCCAAUGGGGGAGAAGUUUAGAGAGUUUACUUUGGAUAUGUUUAGAGGGUUUUGCUUUUAUUGCGUAAGCAUUUACAUCUUGCACACAUGCAUUAUUACCUUGUAUGUGUGCGCUUGGUUAUGCUUAUUUCCUUAUAUAAACUCUCUUGAAGAGGUUGUCUUCAAUUACCAAAAUGGGGGAGAUUGUUAGAGCAUAUAUCUCCAUAUGUGGUUUUGGUAAUUGAUGACAAUUCCUAUGGACUAAUGGUUGCCUUAAGUUAUAUUUAUAGGAUUUGUCCAUAGGCACUUCUUGAAGUCCAUCUGUCGGGUUCAAGGAGUUUAUAUGAUGACCAAGAUGUUAUUCAAGGUAUUAUCCAAAGAAUGGUCGUAGAAACACUAGGUUGAUCAAGAUCUCAGACAAAGAGUAAAUCAAGAUGAUCAACACACAAAGCGUAUAAGAUGUACCGAGAGGGAUCAAGUGAUCCCAUGGUAUGGUAAGCAUUGUCCAUUACGUGUUUGUGUACUAACCUAUGGUCUUUGUGAGACUCCUGUGUGGGGGUUAGGUGUGCUUCCAUUGGGCUUGCGUCAAAAGGAAGAUCCCAUACAACCCAUGAAGGAUGACGUCAAGUGGUGAUCGUCAUCAAGAUUGUGGUGUGCAAGUUCAAGUGGAUCAGCACGAAUAUAUCAUUGAAACUAUUGUCAAUGAUCAUGUGCUGAUAAGGACAACCUCAUGUGCUAACAAGGAUAAGAUCGAGAUAAGCAUUCCUGAGCACUACAUGCUUGAUUCUUGUGGAUGUUCACAUGAUGGACAAAUGAAGAUGAAUACAUAAGCUAGGCUUUCCGCAUUGUGUGUGGGAAAGCUACUUGAAGACUUCAUCAUGUCUUGCUUUCAACUUGAGCCAAGAAGGAACAACAACAUCAAGCUCAGGUGAAAGGGCUAACUCAAAGGUACCAGUUCCUUUGCCGUUAGUUGUGCGGAGUGAUGAUCAGCGAAUAAAAGUAUACACUCAAGUAUGGAUCAUCAGUACUCUUUUAUGAUUCUUGAGUCCUUAGGGAUCCCGCACUAUUAAGAGGGGAUCACAGGUUUUGCGAUGAACUUGCUCAAACUACAUCAUCACUUUCUCCUCAGACCACAUCUCCACUGUUUUGUUGUUAUCUGAAAACAGAACCAGUGCCUCGGACAUCCGGCUUUCUCCGGACGUCCGAGGACCGUACGACCAACUAGUUCAGAAAUCUGGAAUCCUAUACUAGAGAAAUCAGAGCCAUAUACCUCGGACUUCCGGCUCCCUCCGGACGUCCGAGGCCCGGAUGUCCGGCCAAGUCCCGGAAAUCCGGAAGCCUGCACCAGUAGAAGUUGAGUUCUAUAUCUCGGAAAUCCGGCUCCCUUCGGACGUCCGAGCGCCGAACGUCCGACACCAGUCGGAAAUCCGGAGCCUACCACCAGUAGAAGUUGAGCUGUAUAACUCAGAUUUCCGGUCCUCUCCGGACGUCCGGUGGCUGAUAAAUUCAACAUAGGUUCAGUCGUAUCUACAGGCCUCAGACGACCGACCCCUGUCGGACGUCCGGUCGCUGUUUAAUUCAAAAUAGUUUCAGUCGUAUCUACAGGCCUCGGACGACCGACCCCUGUCGGACAUCCGACCCCUCGCGGACGCCCGGACUUCCGACAACUGUCGGACGUCCGGACCCUGUGUGACUUAAAGUGUCCCCAACGGCUCUUUUUCUCUCCCCACUAUAAAUACCCCCCUCCCACUUCGUGAGAGGGUAGCCCAACACAGCCUUAUCCUCAUAAGAACACAUUUCCACCUCACACACAUUUUCUCACUCCAAAUCUUAGAUCCCAAGAGCAUUUGUGAGCCCCUUUGAGAGUUGUUCCAAUCAAAAGAUAGAUCGUCUCCCUCUCCUUCUCUCAACCCAAGAUAUUUGUGAUUUGAGCAAAUUUUGAGCAUUCCCCGUGAUCUUGUUACUCUUGGAGGUUGGAGACUCCUAGGCGGUAGGAGUUUUUCGGAGAGGAAUCAAUCCAUGCGAUUACCCCCCGGAAAAGUUUGUGAGGGUUUGGAAGCCACCUCAAAGGCUUACCACUAGUGGUUGAGAAACGCCUUCGUGGUGUUAUCUCAAAGGGAGAAUAGGGUGAGCCUUCGUGGCGUUGGUGUGCCUUCGUGGUAACAUCCACCUCUCUAACGGUGACUAGCUUCCCUCCAAGGAAGUGAACAUCGGGAUACAUCUUCGUCUCAGUGACCUUGGUUAUCCUUAACCCUAACUCCUUACUUGUGGUUUACUUAUGUUACUUGAGCAUACAUACAUUGCAUAUUGUUUGUGCUCAUUAUAUUGUGUUGGCUAUUUCUUGUACAAGAUUGCUAUGCAACAGAUAUAGGAGCUAACUAAAACAGUAGCUAAAUUCUAAUGCAAGCGUGAGGCAGAAAGAAAUGGGCGAUAUAGAAAUGAUCAAGGGGGUUUGCUUGCCUUGUUGCUCUGUGGCAAAGACUCGUCGUCAGGAGGGUAGUCGUACCCGGCAGCAGCGUCAGUCUCGGGGUCUACCGGUAAGAAGAGGGAGGAGAAACAAUAAAUAUAAACACAGAUGCAAUCACUAAGCAUGACAAAGCAAUAUAUAGGUCUAGGCAUGAACUAACGCAGUAUCGUCCGUCAUAGAAGGAUCGGGAAAAUAUCGGAUGAUAUUUCCCGGGUCUCUCGCUACUACCGAACAGGCGAAACGGAUGGAAAAGUUCUACAUUCGCUAUGCUAGGGACGCGUGACAGACGAACGGGUAGCGUAUCCGGGUUCGUCUUGAUUUGCUGAUCAACUUUCAUGUUCAAAUUAUUUUCAUCUGACUUACGGAUUAAUUAAUAUUAAUUUUUAAAGUUUUACAGAAUUUCUAGAAUUUAACUAUUGAUUUAAAUUAGAAUUAUCCAGAAUAGUAAAUGAUGACAUCAUCAUGACAUAACCAUGAUGUCAGCAGGUCAACUCUGGGUGACCAGAGCCAAACCUGACCUGUGGGGUCACUCGGACCCACAUGUCAGCAUGUGUUAGUAUUAAGCAGAGUUAGAUUUAACUAAUUAGGAUUAAUUAAGGGUGGGAUCUACUGUCAUAGACUCACGGGCUAACCAGUGUUUAAAUUUAAACUAAACUAAUUAAACAGAGGGGGGCACCUGUCAUAGGGUGUUUAGUUAACAAUUUAAUUAAAUUAACUUAAUUAAUCAUCGGGUUAAUUAGAGGGGGUGGCCCCACAUGUCCUUGACUGGGCCAGCCCAGUCAGCGUUGAUUGGGUCAACUGGGCCCGUGGGGACCCAGGGUCAGUGACACAGGGGCGGGGCCCAGUCGGCUAUGUCAGCGGACGGCGCCGGAGACGCGCUCCGGUGAGCCCGAGCGCGGCGGCGAGCUCGGCCGAGCUCAGAAAACACGUGUGGUGCACCAAAUCGAGUGCCAUUUGUUCCUAUCGCGAGCUGAGAUCAUCACCGAUCCGUUCCAAGCUUCGGUUCGAGCAAUGGGGGCUUGUGCAUUGCUGGCCACACGUCGUGGAGGAAGCCGGUUCAAGUGGACGGCAAAACAGCAGCUGCAGCGCGCGGAGGUCAUGCCUAGCGCAUGGGAUCGAUGCGGGGAGCACCAAGAGCAUGCCGGUGGCACGCACGGGUGCUCAAACGCAUGCACGUCAUGAGCACAUCAGCAAUGGCGGGCGACGGAGCUCGAUUACGGCGAGGGGCUACAGGGGGCUACGGGAGCUAGCAGAGGAAGAGGAGGUCGUGGGGGAGCUCACUAGCGGUGAUGGGAAGGCCCGAUGCAGUGACGGAGCAGCGGCGGCGAUGAAUCGACGACAGCGAGGUCCUCGAUCCGAGGAGGAAGAUGAUGGCGCACGGGACGAUGCAGCGGUGAUGAGCUUGAAUGAACGGGCGUAGUCGAGGGAGGAAGGGCCGGUGAGGCUUCCUUGCACGGUGGUGUGGCAAGGGGAGCACGAUGGCCGCUCCUACGAGCCGGCCAUUGUGAUGGUUGCGCUCGGCAAGGAAGAGGGUGAGCGAGGGAGAGGGAGAGGGGAGGAACAGACGGGUCCACGGGGUAGCGGGGUGG
This 9262-nucleotide long non-coding RNA is filed under the name Hordeum vulgare. Its description in RNAcentral is "long non-coding RNA (HVUL_LNC007536)". Lineage: Eukaryota; Viridiplantae; Streptophyta; Magnoliopsida; Poales; Poaceae. The record is from RNAcentral.